AUGGCCAGUCCGCUGUCGCUUAUCUUCUUCAUCACAAACUGCCGACAUGAAAGCAGGAAGUCAACCGCGCCUCCGCGCAGGACCACCGGUGACGUCCGCUUCAUCGUCGUCAUGCACGACCACCAACGCCGUCCCCAUGAUCAUCAUCACACACAACCACUGGCGUCGUUGUCACGCACGGCCACCGUCGCCGUUCGCCUCGUCGUUGACUUCGGCAUCAUCUUCUCGGCUGCUCGGCGCCGGCCUCCUUAG
Molecule: ribosomal RNA, 252 nt
Filed under: Triticum aestivum (bread wheat)
Lineage: Eukaryota; Viridiplantae; Streptophyta; Magnoliopsida; Poales; Poaceae
Description: partial small subunit ribosomal RNA
Source: RNAcentral